This 488-nucleotide ribosomal RNA is filed under the name Veillonella parvula. RNAcentral's name for it is "bacterial SSU rRNA". It matches the Rfam family "Bacterial small subunit ribosomal RNA", at positions 28 to 486 of the family's 1533-position model. Lineage: Bacteria; Bacillati; Bacillota; Negativicutes; Veillonellales; Veillonellaceae. The record is from RNAcentral.
GACGAACGCUGGCGGCGUGCUUAACACAUGCAAGUCGAACGAAGAGCGACGGAAGCUUGCUUCUAUCAAUCUUAGUGGCGAACGGGUGAGUAACGCGUAAUCAACCUGCCCUUCAGAGGGGGACAACAGUUGGAAACGACUGCUAAUACCGCAUACGAUCUAAUCUCGGCAUCGAGGAUGGAUGAAAGGUGGCCUCUACAUGUAAGCUAUCACUGAAGGAGGGGAUUGCGUCUGAUUAGCUAGUUGGAGGGGUAACGGCCCACCAAGGCGAUGAUCAGUAGCCGGUCUGAGAGGAUGAACGGCCACAUUGGGACUGAGACACGGCCCAGACUCCUACGGGAGGCAGCAGUGGGGAAUCUUCCGCAAUGGACGAAAGUCUGACGGAGCAACGCCGCGUGAGUGAUGACGGCCUUCGGGUUGUAAAGCUCUGUUAAUCGGGACGAAAGGCCUUCUUGCAAAUAGUGAGAAGGAUUGACGUAUCGGAAUAG